This 1169-nucleotide ribosomal RNA is filed under the name Salmonella enterica subsp. enterica serovar Enteritidis. RNAcentral describes it as "partial 23S ribosomal RNA". It matches the Rfam family "Bacterial large subunit ribosomal RNA", at positions 1 to 1209 of the family's 2925-position model. Lineage: Bacteria; Pseudomonadati; Pseudomonadota; Gammaproteobacteria; Enterobacterales; Enterobacteriaceae. The record is from RNAcentral.
GGUUAAGCGACUAAGCGUACACGGUGGAUGCCCUGGCAGUCAGAGGCGAUGAAGGGCGUGCUAAUCUGCGAUAAGCGCCGGUAAGGUGAUAUGAACCGUUAUAACCGGCGAUACCCGAAUGGGGAAACCCAGUGUGACUCGUCACACUAUCAUUAACUGAAUCCAUAGGUUAAUGAGGCGAACCGGGGGAACUGAAACAUCUAAGUACCCCGAGGAAAAGAAAUCAACCGAGAUUCCCCCAGUAGCGGCGAGCGAACGGGGAGGAGCCCAGAGCCUGAAUCAGCAUGUGUGUUAGUGGAAGCGUCUGGAAAGGCGCGCGAUACAGGGUGACAGCCCCGUACACAAAAGCGCAUGUGCUGUGAGCUCGAUGAGUAGGGCGGGACACGUGGUAUCCUGUCUGAAUAUGGGGGGACCAUCCUCCAAGGCUAAAUACUCCUGACUGACCGAUAGUGAACCAGUACCGUGAGGGAAAGGCGAAAAGAACCCCGGCGAGGGGAGUGAAAAAGAACCUGAAACCGUGUACGUACAAGCAGUGGGAGCACAGGUUUACCUGUGUGACUGCGUACCUUUUGUAUAAUGGGUCAGCGACUUAUAUUCUGUAGCAAGGUUAACCGAAUAGGGGAGCCGGAGGGAAACCGAGUCUUAAUUGGGCGUUAAGUUGCAGGGUAUAGACCCGAAACCCGGUGAUCUAGCCAUGGGCAGGUUGAAGGUUGGGUAACACUAACUGGAGGACCGAACCGACUAAUGUUGAAAAAUUAGCGGAUGACCUGUGGCUGGGGGUGAAAGGCCAAUCAAACCGGGAGAUAGCUGGUUCUCCCCGAAAGCUAUUUAGGUAGCGCCUCGUGAAUUCAUCUCCGGGGGUAGAGCACUGUUUCGGCUAGGGGGCCAUCCCGGCUUACCAACCCGAUGCAAACUGCGAAUACCGGAGAAUGUUAUCACGGGAGACACACGGCGGGUGCUAACGUCCGUCGUGAAGAGGGAAACAACCCAGACCGCCAGCUAAGGUCCCAAAGUCAUGGUUAAGUGGGAAACGAUGUGGGAAGGCCCAGACAGCCAGGAUGUUGGCUUAGAAGCAGCCAUCAUUUAAAGAAAGCGUAAUAGCUCACUGGUCGAGUCGGCCUGCGCGGAAGAUGUAACGGGGCUAAACCAUGCACCGAAGCUGCGGCAGC